This 164-nucleotide non-coding RNA is filed under the name uncultured Prevotella sp. Lineage: Bacteria; Pseudomonadati; Bacteroidota; Bacteroidia; Bacteroidales; Prevotellaceae. The record is from RNAcentral.
UUUGGUUCACGGAUGGAAACAGACGUGAUGAAAAGGGAAUCAGGUGUGAAACCUGAACAGUGCCCGCUGCUGUAAGCUCAUUGUGUCAUCGACUGAAAAGCCACUGUCCAACUGACGGGAAGGUGUCGGUGAUUGAGUAAGUCAGAAGACCUGCCGGUUCAUUU